UACAACUGCUCGGUAUCUGACCGUAAGGCGCUACAGAGGGUAGUGCGUACGGCCCAGUACAUCACUGGAGCCAAGCUUCCUGACAUCUAGGACCCAUAUUACUAGGCAGUGUUAGAGACAUACCCAAACAAUUGUCAAAGACUCCAGUCGCCCAAGUCAUAGACUGUUCUUUCUGCUACCGCAGGGCAAGCAGUACCGGAGCGCCAAGUCUAGGACCAAAAGACUCCUUAACAGCUUCUACCCCCAAUUUUAUUACAUUUUUUUACUUAAGUUUUUCUUAACUCUAUUUCUUAAACUGCAUUGUUGGUUAAGGGCUUGUAAGUAAGCAUUUCACUGUAAGUUCUACACCUGUUGUAUUCGGCGCAUGUAACAAAUACAAUUUUAUUUGUAUCUGUCUCCCUCACAGAGGUGGGGUUUUGUACCUGUCUCCCUCACUGAGGUGCCGUUUCGUACCUGACUCCUUAACUGAGGUGGGGUUUCGUACCUGUCUCCUUAACUAAGGUGGGGUUUUGUACCUGUCUCCUUAACUAAGGUGGGGUAUUGUACCUGUCUCCCUCACUGAGGUGGAGUUUUGUACCUGUUUCCUUAACUGAGGUGGGGUUUUGUACCUGCAUCCUUAACUGAGGUGGGAUUUUGUACCUUGCUCCUUAACUAAGGUGGGGUUUUGUACCUGUCUCCUUAACUGAGAUGGGAUUUUGUACCUUUCUCCUUAACUGAGGUGGGGUUUUGUACCUUGCUCCUUAACUAAGGUGGGGUUUUGUACCUUUCUCCUUAACUGAGGUGGGGUUUUGUACCUUUCUCCUUAACUGAGGUGGGGUUUUGUACCUUGCUCCUUAACUGAGGUGGGGUUUUGUACCUUUCUCCUUAACUGAGGUGGGGUUUUGUACCUUUCUCCUUAACUGAGGUGGGGUUUUGUACCUGUCUCCUUAACUGAGGUGGGGUUUUGUACCUUUCUCCUUAACUGAGGUGGGGUUUUGUACCUGUCUCCUUAACUGAGGUGGGAUUUUGUACCUUGCUCCUUAACUAAGGUGGGGUAUUGUACCUGUCUCCCUCACUGAGGUGGAGUUUUGUACCUGUCUCCCUCACUGAGGUGGAGUUUUGUACCUGUCUCCUUAACUGAGGUGGGGUUUUGUACCUGUCUCCUUAACUGAGGUGGGAUUUUGUACCUGUCUCCUUAACUGAGGUGGGGUUUUGUACCUGUCUCCUUAACUGAGGUGGGGUUUUGUACCUGUCUCCUUAACUGAGGUGGGGUUUCAUACCUGUCUCCUUAACUGAGAAGGGAUUUUGUACCUUGCUCCUUAACUAAGGUGGGGUUUUGUACCUGUCUCCUUAACUGAGGUGGGGUUUCAUACCUGUCUCCUUAACUGAGGUGGGGUUUUGUACCUGUCUCCUUAACUGAGGUGGGAUUUUGUACCUUUCUCCUUAACUGAGGUGGGGUUUUGUACCUGUCUCCUUAACUGAGGUGGGGUUUUGUACCUUUCUCCUUAACUGAGGUGGGGUUUUGUACCUGUCUCCUUAACUGAGGUGGGAUUUUGUACCUUUCUCCUUAACUGAGUUGGGGUUUUGUACCUUUCUCCUUAACUGAGGUGGGAUUUUGUACCUUUCUCCUUAACUGAGGUGGGGUUUUGUACCUUUCUCCUUAACUGAGGUGGGGUUUUGUACCUGUCUCCUUAACUGAGGUGGGAUUUUG
Molecule: long non-coding RNA, 1690 nt
Organism: Oncorhynchus keta (chum salmon)
Lineage: Eukaryota; Metazoa; Chordata; Actinopteri; Salmoniformes; Salmonidae
Exons: 5
Source: RefSeq, a predicted model, not a curated record